This is an RNA transcript of Propithecus coquereli (Coquerel's sifaka), 949 nucleotides long. It is a transcript of the gene named glyceraldehyde-3-phosphate dehydrogenase pseudogene, with no coding region annotated. Lineage: Eukaryota; Metazoa; Chordata; Mammalia; Primates; Indriidae. The transcript is spliced from 2 exons. The record is from RefSeq and is a predicted model, not a curated record.
CUUCUCGCGCAGCGCCAGCACCGUCCCCGAGACACCAUGGUGAAAGUGAAGGCCGGAAUAAAUGGCUUCGGCCGUAUUGGGCGCCUGGUCACCAGGGCUGCUUCUAACUCUGGCAAAGUGGACAUUGUCGCCAUCAAUGACCCCUUCAUUGACCUCAACUACAUGGUCUACGUGUUCCAGUAAGACUCCACCCACGGCAAGUUCCAUGGCACAGUCAAGGCGGAGGAUGGGAAGCUUGUCAUCAAUGGCUAUUCCAUAACCAUCUUCCAGGAGCAAGAUCUCACCAAAAUCAAAUGGGGGGAAGUGGGCGCCGAUUACGUUGUGGAGUCCACGGGCGUGUUCACCACCCUGGAGAAGGCCGGGGCUCACCUAGAUGGGGGUGCCAAGAGGGUCAUCAUCUCUGCCCCCUCUGCUGACGCCCCCAUGUUUGUGAUGGGCGUGAACCACGACAAGUACCAAAACAACCUCACCAUCGUCAGCAAUGCCUCCUGCACCACCAACUGCUUCGCCCCUGGCAUCGUGGAGGGACUCAUGACCACAGUCCAUGCCGUCACCGCCACCCAGAAGACCGUGGAUGGCCCGUCUGGGAAGAUGUGGCGUGAUGGCCGUGGGGCUCUCCAGAACAUCAUUCCUGCGUCGACUGGCGCAGCCAAGGCCAUGGGCAAGGUCAUCCCCGAGCUGAACGGGAAGCUCACUGGCAUGGCCUUCCGCGUCCCCACUGCCAACAUGUCGGUGGUGGACCUGACCUGCCAUCUGGAGAAGCCGGCCAAGUAUGAUGACAUCAAGAAGGUGGUGAAGCAGGCGGCGGAUGGCCCCCUCAGGGGCAUCCUGGGCUACACUGAGCACCAACCAGGUUGUCUCCUCCGACUUCAACAGUGACACCCACUCUUCCACCUUUGAUGCUGGUGCUGGCAUCGCCCUCAAUGACCACUUUGUAAAGCAGCCCUGA